This 72-nucleotide transfer RNA is filed under the name Camelus bactrianus (Bactrian camel). It matches the Rfam family "tRNA". Rfam says of the family: Transfer RNA (tRNA) molecules are approximately 80 nucleotides in length. Their secondary structure includes four short double-helical elements and three loops (D, anti-codon, and T loops). RNAcentral also lists the same sequence under 2 other names. The record is from Rfam by way of RNAcentral. Lineage: Eukaryota; Metazoa; Chordata; Mammalia; Artiodactyla; Camelidae.
GAGGAUAUAGCUCAGUGGUGGAUUGUGUGCUUAGCAUGCUCAAGGUUCUGGGUUCAAUCUCCAGUACCUCCA